This 765-nucleotide long non-coding RNA is filed under the name Ananas comosus (pineapple). Its description in RNAcentral is "long non-coding RNA (ACOM_LNC031840)". Lineage: Eukaryota; Viridiplantae; Streptophyta; Magnoliopsida; Poales; Bromeliaceae. The record is from RNAcentral.
GAUUCUCGUGUCGGGCAGGAAAAAUUCUAGAAUGCAACAGGUAUAUUAGUGACGUGGCGUAACAAACCAAUCAAAUUAAUCUUUUUAAGAAUAUAUGUCCCAUCAUAAUUGUAAAAAAGUAUUUUUAUUGUACUUUUGUUUAAAAAGAAGAAAUGUGAUUGGCUUGUUAUUGAUGACGUUAUGCAAGUGUGACAAUGUAGAAUUCCUCGUCGGGCAGAGUGUGUUAGACUUUUAUAAGAAAUCAAGAAUGUGACUUCUGUCAUAAUUUUAAUUUUUAUAUUCGAAUUAAAGACAGUAAUUUUUAUUCGUAAUUCGUUUCCGUUCAAAAUAAUGAGACAUUUCGAGCCUAAUUUUUUUAUUCCGAAGAUAGAGCCGUCACAAAAAUUAGAAUUAGGAUUAAAUCAUACAUAACUUAAUAUAAGGAUAUAAUCUAUUCAUCAAGAACGUGUCCAAAUAUAUUCUAACCGUUAGAUUUACCAUAUUUUUAUAAAUUGAUUUAAAUAGACCGACUAUAUAUAUAUAUAUAUAUAUAUAUAUAGAAUUAGGCUAAUAUACUAUUAAUAGCACCAAUCUAUUGGUGCUAUUAAUUUUUUUGUCCUUGGAUUGAGAUAUGUGUGGUUAGGAUGAUAUGGGGCCUCUAGGAUUGAGUGAAUGGUUGGUUGAAUAAUAUAAUCUAAGGGGUAAAAAUAAUCAAAUGAUUAAAUCUAAUGAUGAAAAACUCAAUAGUACUAAAUUCUUGAUGCUAUCGAUAGCAUUCCAGCUUGG